RNAcentral lists this ribosomal RNA (472 nucleotides) under uncultured bacterium. RNAcentral describes it as "partial 16S ribosomal RNA". It matches the Rfam family "Bacterial small subunit ribosomal RNA", at positions 28 to 507 of the family's 1533-position model. The record is from RNAcentral.
GACGAACGCUGGCGGCGUGCUUAACACAUGCAAGUCGAACGCUGAAGCUUGGUGCUUGCACUUGGUGGAUUAGUGGCGAACGGGUGAGUAAUACGUGAGUAACCUGCCCUUGACUCUGGGAUAAGCUUGGGAAACUGGGUCUAAUACUGGAUAAGACAUGUCACCGCAUGGUGGUGUGUUGAAAGGGGUUUUCUGGUUUUGGUAGGGCUCACGGCCUACCAGCUUGUCGGUGGGGUAAUGGCGCACCAAGGCGACGACGGGUAGCCGGCCUGAGAGGGUGACCGGCCACACUGGGACUGAGACAAGGCCCAGACUCCUACGGGAGGCAGCAGUGGGGAAUAUUGCACAAUGGGCGGAAGCCUGAUGCAGCGACGCCGCGUGAGGGAUGACGGCCUUCGGGUUGUAAACCUCUUUCAGCACGGAAGAAGCGAAAGUGACGGUACGUGCAGAAGAAGCGCCGGCUAACUACGUG